AAUUGGAGGGCAAGUCUGGUGCCAGCAGCCGCGGUAAUUCCAGCUCCAAUAGCGUAUAUUAAAGUUGUUGCAGUUAAAAAGCUCGUAGUUGAAUUUCGGGAUCAAUAUUUCGGUCAUGCCGUUGGUAUGCACUGUUAUCAUUGAUUUCUCACCUUCUAAAGAACCGUAAUGCCAUUAAUUUGGUGUUACGGGGAAUUAGGACUGUUACCUUGAAAAAAUUAGAGUGUUUAAAGCAGGCUCACGCUUGAAUACAUUAGCAUGGAAUAAUGAAAUAGGACAUCCGAUUCUAUUUUGUUGAUUUCUAGGAUCGAUGUAAUGAUUAAUAGGGAUAGUUGGGGGCAUUAGUAUUCAAUUGUCAGAGGUGAAAUUCUUGGAUUUAUUGAAGACUAACUACUGCGAAAGCAUUUGCCAAGGAUGUUUUCAUUAAUCAAGAACGAAAGUUAGGGGAUCGAAGACGAUCAGAUACCGUCGUAGUCUUAACCAUAAACUAUGCCGACUAGGGAUCGGAUGAUGUUAAUUUUUUAAUGACUCAUUCGGCGCCUUACGGGAAACCAAAGUGU
RNAcentral lists this ribosomal RNA (560 nucleotides) under uncultured Glomus. RNAcentral's name for it is "SSU rRNA". It matches the Rfam family "Eukaryotic small subunit ribosomal RNA", at positions 546 to 1106 of the family's 1831-position model. Lineage: Eukaryota; Fungi; Glomeromycota; Glomeromycetes; Glomerales; Glomeraceae. The record is from RNAcentral.